CAAUAGCGUAUAUUAAAGUUGUUGCAGUUAAAAAGCUCGUAGUUGGAUUUGUGGCGUACGGUGUGUUCCGGGCACUUGUUGUCUGAGUAACCUGCUGUUGCCAUCCUUGGGUGGAACCUGUGUGGCAUUAGGUUGUCGUGCAGGGGAUGCCCAUCAUUUACUGUGAAAAAAUUAGAGUGUUCAAAGCAGGCUUAUGCCGUUGAAUAUAUUAGCAUGGAAUAAUGAGAUAGGACUUUUUUGCUAUUUUGUUGGUUUGCGCAAAGAGGUAAUGAUUAAUAGGGACAGUUGGGGGUAUUCGUAUUCCAUUGUCAGAGGUGAAAUUCUUGGAUGUUUGGAAGACGAACUACUGCGAAAGCAUUUACCAAGGAUGUUUUCAUUAA
This 380-nucleotide ribosomal RNA is filed under the name uncultured eukaryote. RNAcentral describes it as "partial 18S ribosomal RNA". It matches the Rfam family "Eukaryotic small subunit ribosomal RNA", at positions 592 to 976 of the family's 1831-position model. The record is from RNAcentral.